GUGGGGAAUAUUGGACAAUGGGCGAAAGCCUGAUCCAGCCAUGCCGCGUGUGUGAAGAAGGUCUUCGGAUUGUAAAGCACUUUAAGUUGGGAGGAAGGGCAGUAAGUUAAUACCUUGCUGUUUUGACGUUACCGACAGAAUAAGCACCGGCUAACUUCGUGCCAGCAGCCGCGGUAAUACGAAGGGUGCAAGCGUUAAUCGGAAUUACUGGGCGUAAAGCGCGCGUAGGUGGUUCAGCAAGUUGAAGGUGAAAUCCCCGGGCUCAACCUGGGAACUGCCUCCAAAACUGCAUGACUAGAGUACGGUAGAGGGUAGUGGAAUUUCCUGUGUAGCGGUGAAAUGCGUAGAUAUAGGAAGGAACACCAGUGGCGAAGGCGACUACCUGGACUGAUACUGACACUGAGGUGCGAAAGCGUGGGGAGCAAACAGGAUUAGAUACCCGAGUAGUCC
Molecule: ribosomal RNA, 450 nt
Filed under: uncultured bacterium
Lineage: Bacteria
Description: partial 16S ribosomal RNA
Rfam family: Bacterial small subunit ribosomal RNA
Source: RNAcentral